RNAcentral lists this ribosomal RNA (1432 nucleotides) under Enterococcus mundtii. Its description in RNAcentral is "bacterial SSU rRNA". It matches the Rfam family "Bacterial small subunit ribosomal RNA". Lineage: Bacteria; Bacillati; Bacillota; Bacilli; Lactobacillales; Enterococcaceae. The record is from RNAcentral.
UAAUACAUGCAAGUCGAACGCUUCUUUUCCCACCGGAGCUUGCUCCACCGGGAAAAGAGGAGUGGCGAACGGGUGAGUAACACGUGGGUAACCUGCCCAUCAGAAGGGGAUAACACUUGGAAACAGGUGCUAAUACCGUAUAACAAUCGAAACCGCAUGGUUUCGUUUUGAAAGGCGCUUUACGGUGCCGCUGAUGGAUGGACCCGCGGUGCAUUAGCUAGUUGGUGAGGUAACGGCUCACCAAGGCCACGAUGCAUAGCCGACCUGAGAGGGUGAUCGGCCACAUUGGGACUGAGACACGGCCCAAACUCCUACGGGAGGCAGCAGUAGGGAAUCUUCGGCAAUGGACGAAAGUCUGACCGAGCAACGCCGCGUGAGUGAAGAAGGUUUUCGGAUCGUAAAACUCUGUUGUUAGAGAAGAACAAGGGUGAGAGUAACUGUUCACCCCUUGACGGUAUCUAACCAGAAAGCCACGGCUAACUACGUGCCAGCAGCCGCGGUAAUACGUAGGUGGCAAGCGUUGUCCGGAUUUAUUGGGCGUAAAGCGAGCGCAGGCGGUUUCUUAAGUCUGAUGUGAAAGCCCCCGGCUCAACCGGGGAGGGUCAUUGGAAACUGGGAGACUUGAGUGCAGAAGAGGAGAGUGGAAUUCCAUGUGUAGCGGUGAAAUGCGUAGAUAUAUGGAGGAACACCAGUGGCGAAGGCGGCUCUCUGGUCUGUAACUGACGCUGAGGCUCGAAAGCGUGGGGAGCAAACAGGAUUAGAUACCCUGGUAGUCCACGCCGUAAACGAUGAGUGCUAAGUGUUGGAGGGUUUCCGCCCUUCAGUGCUGCAGCUAACGCAUUAAGCACUCCGCCUGGGGAGUACGACCGCAAGGUUGAAACUCAAAGGAAUUGACGGGGGCCCGCACAAGCGGUGGAGCAUGUGGUUUAAUUCGAAGCAACGCGAAGAACCUUACCAGGUCUUGACAUCCUUUGACCACUCUAGAGAUAGAGCUUCCCCUUCGGGGGCAAAGUGACAGGUGGUGCAUGGUUGUCGUCAGCUCGUGUCGUGAGAUGUUGGGUUAAGUCCCGCAACGAGCGCAACCCUUAUUGUUAGUUGCCAUCAUUUAGUUGGGCACUCUAGCAAGACUGCCGGUGACAAACCGGAGGAAGGUGGGGAUGACGUCAAAUCAUCAUGCCCCUUAUGACCUGGGCUACACACGUGCUACAAUGGGAAGUACAACGAGUCGCGAAGUCGCGAGGCUAAGCUAAUCUCUUAAAGCUUCUCUCAGUUCGGAUUGUAGGCUGCAACUCGCCUACAUGAAGCCGGAAUCGCUAGUAAUCGCGGAUCAGCACGCCGCGGUGAAUACGUUCCCGGGCCUUGUACACACCGCCCGUCACACCACGAGAGUUUGUAACACCCGAAGUCGGUGAGGUAACCUUUUUGGAGCCAG